Pipistrellus kuhlii (Kuhl's pipistrelle) is the source of this 1712-nucleotide long non-coding RNA. RefSeq lists it as uncharacterized. Lineage: Eukaryota; Metazoa; Chordata; Mammalia; Chiroptera; Vespertilionidae. The transcript has 2 exons. The record is from RefSeq and is a predicted model, not a curated record.
UUGUACCUUAUAAAGAGCUGAGGAAUGUAAAAGUUUUGAUCUUUUUGUUUGUUCUAACUGCCUCAAUGUGGGAUUCUUAGCAUUUUCUAGAGUAACUAUUUCUCAUUAUUUAUUCUUAUAAAGUCAUAGAAUUAUGGACUUUGAGCUGGAAAGAGCCGUAGCAAUAAGCUACACUAUGUGAGUCCACCAGCCUUUGCACUUCCUCCUGGAGGCUGCAGGGUUUAGAACAUUUCAGCAAUCCUCCAGGCUUCCUGCUUUCCCCGCCCUCUUCUGGGUGUUCCAGCUCUAUCUCAGUGCUUGAUAAGGGACAUUAUGGAGAAGUGCACCCGUUGUGGGAGAAAGCACAUUGGUCCCCAAACGAUUGCAGGAUAAGGAAGUACAAAAUCUCCUUCCGUUUGGUUCAGUCUUUCAUUCCAGCCCACUGGUUGGUUUUGUCUGUGAAUGUGGAGGGGAAACCCCAGCACAUCGGGGACUGCAGUUUGGAGGAAAUACAUGUCCAUCACUUUCUGUGAUGGCUUUUUCCCUGCUCUGCAGUCUGUUAAGUUAUUUGUACCUUAGAUAUUGUCAUUGUAUUUUUGUCUAUUUUCCCAGGAGGCCUUGAAGCAAGGGUGAUGAACAAGAUAUGCUACCUGACCAUAGUUUUUAAAGGCGUGUGUACCCUUUCAUGGUGCGAUAAGAGCACACUUUUCUUUUUAGGCGUUUGCUGCAGCAGUCAGGAUGCAGCCGGGUGAGUGAGGCCUGUGAUCAUAAACUGAAACUUCACCUUCCACCCCUGUGUUAAGUUUGAGUUUGUGAAUAACAAAUUAUUAUUUUUGACAGAAAGGACAUAGUGAAAAUAAGUAUAUCACAAAGAAAAAAAUAUAGGUGUUUUGAAUCUGAUAAAGAUGUAAUAUGUUCAUAUAUCUGAGGAGACAGUGUCAGCAGUAGGGGGCGCUCAUCUCGGUGGGGGUCAGUGUAGAUUUACAGUGUUUCCGAAAUAGUGACCCAUCUGACAGAGAUGAUCUGGCCUCUGAUGUAGUGGGUUGGUCUCCCGCUCUCCUGCCCACCCAAACUCCUGCUACUUGGAAGGUUAACAGCAGGCAUGGGGAGAGGACGGAGAGAUGGAGAGGUUUAGGCUGACAGCUGAUUCUCAGUAGCAGAUGGGAGGGAAAUUAUCUUUAGCAGGCAAAGGUAAAGCAGAUUUUAUUUUUGAAUUUUUAUUAUGUGAGGAGUGUUGCACAAAGUUUUUUAUUGGUUUGCAUGCUUUUUAAAAUCCCCUCCUCAGAGAUAAGUCAGAAGUCUGUGGUUGUGUUGGGGUUUUACAGAUCCUUUUCUUCUUUCUUACAUUGAAUGGCAGCUGUUAUUACCCCACAUGCCUACCUACUUUGGGGAUCCUCUCGUUUGUAUCCUUUAGUGCCAGCAUCUCCCUUUCUGGAAGUUGGGAGCUUAGAACUGAGAAGGAAGUUGGGCUACUCUACUUUCUCACCCUCCCCCCCCUAAAAAAGGGGAAACUGAGAGCCAGGGAGAGGAAAUGACUUGCUGAGCAGAGAUGGUAUCCCACUUAAAGUCUCACUGCUAUUUUGCAUCAAAGCUUGGUCUGCAGUGCUGGAUCCUGACUCCUGGUUUAGUCUUGCUCCGUUUGUAAUAUAUGUACUCCUCCUCUUCAUCCGGAGGAUUCCUUUGUGUUCUCUAAAAUAGAGCAAAUCUGGAAAAGCUGACAAUCAGUUAAUUUA